GUGUCAGCCGCCGCGGUAAUACGUAGGUGGCAAGCGUUGUCCGGAUUUAUUGGGUUUAAAGGGUGCGUAGGCGGCCUAUUAAGUCAGUGCUGAAAUACUUCGGCUUAACCGGAGAGGUGGCAUUGAUACUGAUGGGCUUGAGUACAGAUGAGGUAGGCGGAAUUGACGGUGUAGCGGUGAAAUGCUUAGAUAUCGUCAAGAACACCUAUAGCGAAGGCAGCUUACUAGGCUGUAACUGACGCUGAGGCACGAAAGUGUGGGGAUCAAACAGGAUUAGAAACCCGCGUAGUCC
RNAcentral lists this ribosomal RNA (292 nucleotides) under uncultured bacterium. Its description in RNAcentral is "partial 16S ribosomal RNA". It matches the Rfam family "Bacterial small subunit ribosomal RNA", at positions 505 to 796 of the family's 1533-position model. The record is from RNAcentral.